GGGCACUUAGCUCAGCGGAAGAGCGCUUCCUUGACAUGGAAGAGGUCACAAGUUCGAUCCUUGUAGUGCCCACCA
Molecule: transfer RNA, 75 nt
Filed under: Rhodospirillaceae bacterium
Lineage: Bacteria; Pseudomonadati; Pseudomonadota; Alphaproteobacteria; Rhodospirillales; Rhodospirillaceae
Description: tRNA-Val
Rfam family: tRNA
About the family: Transfer RNA (tRNA) molecules are approximately 80 nucleotides in length. Their secondary structure includes four short double-helical elements and three loops (D, anti-codon, and T loops). Further hydrogen bonds mediate the characteristic L-shaped molecular structure. tRNAs have two regions of fundamental functional importance: the anti-codon, which is responsible for specific mRNA codon recognition, and the 3' end, to which the tRNAs corresponding amino acid is attached (by aminoacyl-tRNA synthetases). tRNAs cope with the degeneracy of the genetic code in two manners: having more than one tRNA (with a specific anti-codon) for a particular amino acid; and 'wobble' base-pairing, i.e. permitting non-standard base-pairing at the 3rd anti-codon position.
Source: RNAcentral